AUCGAAGAGAAGAGAAAGAGAAACUGAGAAGAGAAGAGAAAGAAAUGGAAGGGAAACUGAGAAGUUUCCCAAACAUAAAUAAGAAUGACCUAAAUUUUGGUCAAUUAUUUAACGCGUGUUUUCCCGUAAUUUAAUU
RNAcentral lists this small RNA (136 nucleotides) under Arabidopsis thaliana (thale cress). RNAcentral describes it as "ATSL266140". The record is from RNAcentral. Lineage: Eukaryota; Viridiplantae; Streptophyta; Magnoliopsida; Brassicales; Brassicaceae.